RNAcentral lists this ribosomal RNA (451 nucleotides) under uncultured bacterium. RNAcentral describes it as "partial 16S ribosomal RNA". It matches the Rfam family "Bacterial small subunit ribosomal RNA", at positions 28 to 507 of the family's 1533-position model. The record is from RNAcentral.
GAUGAACGCUGGCGGCAUGCCUAACACAUGCAAGUCGAGCGGCAGCGAGGGGUGCUUGCACCCUGUCGGCGAGCGGCGGACGGCUGAGUAACGCGUGGGAACGUGCCCCAAAGUGAGGAAUAACUGCCCGAAAGGGUAGCUAAUACCGCAUAUUAUCUUCGGAUCAAAGGAUUUAUCCGCUUUGGGAGCGGCUCGCGUCGGAUUAGGUAGUUGGUGAGGUAAUGGCUCACCAAGCCGACGAUCCGUAGCUGGUCUGAGAGGAUGACCAGCCAGACUGGAACUGAGACACGGUCCAGACUCCUACGGGAGGCAGCAGUGAGGAAUCUUACACAAGGGGCGAAAGCCUGAUGGAGCAACGCCGCGUGCAGGACGAAGGCCUUCGGGUUGUAAACUGCUUUUAGAAGUGAGGAAUAUGACGGUAACUGAUGAAUAAGGAUCGGCUAACUACGUG